This 508-nucleotide ribosomal RNA is filed under the name uncultured bacterium. Its description in RNAcentral is "partial 16S ribosomal RNA". It matches the Rfam family "Bacterial small subunit ribosomal RNA", at positions 28 to 523 of the family's 1533-position model. The record is from RNAcentral.
GAUGAACGCUAGCUACAGGCUUAACACAUGCAAGUCGAGGGGAAACGAUAUUGGAAGCUUGCUUCCGAUAGGCGUCGACCGGCGCACGGGUGAGUAACGCGUAUCCAACCUGCCCAUCACUUGGGGAUAACCUUGCGAAAGUAAGACUAAUACCCAAUGACGUCUCUAGAAGACAUCUGAAAGAGAUUAAAGAUUUAUCGGUGAUGGAUGGGGAUGCGUCUGAUUAGCUUGUUGGCGGGGUAACGGCCCACCAAGGCGACGAUCAGUAGGGGUUCUGAGAGGAAGGUCCCCCGCAUUGGAACUGAGACACGGUCCAAACUCCUACGGGAGGCAGCAGUGAGGAAUAUUGGUCAAUGGGCGAGAGCCUGAACCAGCCAAGUGGCGUGCAGGAUGACGGCCCUAUGGGUUGUAAACUGCUUUUAUAAGGGAAUAAAGUGAGCCACGUGUGGCUUUUUGCAUGUACCUUAUGAAUAAGGACCGGCUAAUUCCGUGCCAGCAGCCGCCGUAA